Chelonoidis abingdonii (Abingdon island giant tortoise) is the source of this 134-nucleotide non-coding RNA. The record is from RefSeq and is a predicted model, not a curated record. Lineage: Eukaryota; Metazoa; Chordata; Testudines; Testudinidae.
UGUUGCUGAGAUAAAACGAAGCUACACUGAGCUGGCACCACAAGAUUACAAGGGCCAAUUAAAAGUGGAAAGUCAGAAGCAGCACUCGCUUGUUUCAAUACAUUAUAUUUUGUUCUACCUGUUGUUAUGAAGUG